Molecule: ribosomal RNA, 971 nt
Filed under: Streptomyces sp. WAC 01420
Lineage: Bacteria; Bacillati; Actinomycetota; Actinomycetes; Kitasatosporales; Streptomycetaceae
Description: partial 23S ribosomal RNA
Rfam family: Bacterial large subunit ribosomal RNA
Source: RNAcentral
AGACUUCGUGGAGGACCGAACCCACCAGGGUUGAAAACCUGGGGGAUGACCUGUGGUUAGGGGUGAAAGGCCAAUCAAACUCCGUGAUAGCUGGUUCUCCCCGAAAUGCAUUUAGGUGCAGCGUCGUGUGUUUCUUGCCGGAGGUAGAGCACUGGAUAGGCGAUGGGCCCUACCGGGUUACUGACCUUAGCCAAACUCCGAAUGCCGGUAAGUGAGAGCGCGGCAGUGAGACUGUGGGGGAUAAGCUCCAUGGUCGAGAGGGAAACAGCCCAGAGCAUCGACUAAGGCCCCUAAGCGUACGCUAAGUGGGAAAGGAUGUGGAGUCGCAGAGACAACCAGGAGGUUGGCUUAGAAGCAGCCAUCCUUGAAAGAGUGCGUAAUAGCUCACUGGUCUAGUGAUUCCGCGCCGACAAUGUAGCGGGGCUCAAGCGUACCGCCGAAGUCGUGUCAUUCACACAUUAGGGCCAACGCCUGUGUGGAUGGGUAGGGGAGCGUCGUCUGCCGGGUGAAGCAGCCGUGUAAGCGAGUUGUGGACGGUUGACGAGUGAGAAUGCAGGCAUGAGUAGCGAUUCACACGUGAGAAACGUGUGCGCCGAUUGACUAAGGGUUCCUGGGUCAAGCUGAUCUGCCCAGGGUAAGUCGGGACCUAAGGCGAGGCCGACAGGCGUAGUCGAUGGAUAACCGGUUGAUAUUCCGGUACCCGCUGUGGAGCGUCAAACAUCGAAUCCAGUGAUGCUAAGCCCGUGAAGCCGCCCGCUUUCAGCUUUGCUGUUGGUGGGAGUGGUGGAGCCGGUGACCCGAGCUGGUAGUAGGUGAGUGAUGGGGUGACGCAGGAAGGUAGUCCAUCCCGGGCGGUGGUUGUCCCGGGGUAAGGGUGUAGGACGUCAGGUAGGUAAAUCCGCCUGGCAAUAGUCUGAGACCUGAUGCCGAGCCGAUUGUGGUGAAGUGGAUGAUCCUAUGCUGUCGAGAAA